AAGCUCCCUGCUCUCAGGAGAAUCUGGCACAGCACCAUCACCAACUCAGAGGGAGGGAAGCAACCUUGAGUCAGCUCCCAGGCAGUAAUGAGUGUUCAAGGGAGAUAUAACUCUAAGGAAAAGGAUUGAGGUCAAGGAAUUAGAAGAAACAGAUGGAAGAAUCAUUUGAACCAUAUCCAGGUCUUUUGAAAAUGAUGAGACAGAAGAGAAAGCGAAAAUUGCUUCAGACAGUUUUGCUGAGAAAUUUGUCUCAGAUAAAUUUUGGAGUAAGGUCAGAGACCUAAGAUAAGAAAACCCCUAGGCAGAGGUGGGAAAAAAUAGAAAAAAGAAAACGAAAAGAGCAAAUACAUUCUUCCUUCCUAUCUUCCACUUGCCAGAGUAGCUUUACUAAGAUGCUGCCUGAUCAUUUCUCUCCAGACACUUUUGCCAAUGAUAUUAAUACUAUAAAGGAGCAUUUCUGGACUUGAUUCAUUAAUGAUUAGAAAGCUCGUAACAGAUUAGAUGACCAGGCUACAGUCUCACCUGCCAGGCAGUGCAGCUGCAGAUCUUGGCUGACCAUCAUGUCAGGCACCUACUAUGUGCCAGUCACUGUGCCAGGAGUUGGAAAUAUGAGGAAGACCGUAAUUCUCAUAAUGAGAAUACAAGGAAGACCAUCUCUCAAGAAAGGAACAUCAUAAAACAUGUUUACUGUCAAGUCCUUGUCAUUAUCAAAAAUAUCUCCAGAUUGAUGUCAUUCUGAGAAAAGUGAUUUCAUACUGAAAAAAAUUCUACAAAAAUAGUAAAACUCUUCUUCUCAAUUUUCAGAACUUGGAUGGGGUUGGGGGCAGGUGCUUUCAUCUAUUUUCAUCUUGUCCUGGUAGAAAUUAUUUGCUUGAUUAACAUUUUGGUGGAGAAGUUCAGUCUCUAAGGCUACAGAUGAGAAGAUCAGUUACUGGAUGGGUUCCUAACUUCAAUGUCAAAUCCAAGAGCCUGAAAAUAAAGGAUGGAAAGAAAGGGAAACAAAGAAAAGUUAUCAGACAAUGUGAAGACAUUUUAUGGAGAGGAAGAAAGAGUGAGUGAGCACAGGAAAAAUCACAAAGCAGUAUAUGAAGAAAAGAAAGAGAUAACAGUUAUUAGUAAGUAAAGAGAUAAUUAAGAGAUAAUCCUUUCAGUGGCAUGAACACCAUAGUUUGUGACAUCACUGGUCAUUAAUGAUUUGUGAGAAGCAGUGUCUCAACUAUGUUUCUGUUACAUUAAUUAUACCCAAAAUAAAAUAUUUGCACACCUAUUGUUCCACAGUUA
This 1281-nucleotide long non-coding RNA is filed under the name Homo sapiens (human). Its description in RNAcentral is "HSALNT0191894". The record is from RNAcentral. Lineage: Eukaryota; Metazoa; Chordata; Mammalia; Primates; Hominidae.